GAUGAACGCUGGCGGCGUGCCUAAUACAUGCAAGUCGAGCGAACAGAUGAGGAGCUUGCUCCUCUGACGUUAGCGGCGGACGGGUGAGUAACACGUGGAUAACCUACCUAUAAGACUGGGAUAACUUCGGGAAACCGGAGCUAAUACCGGAUAAUAUAUUGAACCGCAUGGUUCAAUAGUGAAAGACGGUUUUGCUGUCACUUAUAGAUGGAUCCGCGCCGCAUUAGCUAGUUGGUAAGGUAACGGCUUACCAAGGCAACGAUGCGUAGCCGACCUGAGAGGGUGAUCGGCCACACUGGAACUGAGAAACGGUCCAGACUCCUACGGGAGGCAGCAGUAGGGAAUCUUCCGCAAUGGGCGAAAGACUGACGGAGCAACGCCGCGUGAGUGAUGAAGGUCUUCGGAUCGUAAAACUCUGUUAUUAGGGAAGAACAAAUGUGUAAGUAACUAUGCACGUCUUGACGGUACCUAAUCAGAAAGCCACGGCUAACUACGUG
This 497-nucleotide ribosomal RNA is filed under the name uncultured bacterium. RNAcentral describes it as "partial 16S ribosomal RNA". It matches the Rfam family "Bacterial small subunit ribosomal RNA", at positions 28 to 507 of the family's 1533-position model. The record is from RNAcentral.